UGUGUGUGUGUGUGUGUGUGUGUGUGUAACGGAUGUGAAACGGCUAGCUUAGUUAGCGGUGGUUCGUGCUAAAUAGCGUUUCAAUCGGUGACGUCACUUGCACUGAGACCUUAGUGGUUCCCCUUUGCUCUGCAAGGGCCGCGGCUUUUGUGGAGCGAUGGGUAACGAUGCUUUGUGGGUGACUGUUGUUGAUGUGUGCAGAGGGUCCCUGGUUCGAGCCCGGAUAUGGGCGAGGGGACAGUUUAAAGUUGUACUGUUACGUGUGUGUGUUGUGUGUGUGUGUGUGUGUAUUGUGGAUGACUGUCUAUUUUUGACCCAUUAAUUAUGUGUGGUUACAGGGUUAAAACAACUCAAAGGGUGAAGUUUAGGUAUUCAUUCAGUGUGGUUAAAGUUAGGGCUAUGGUUCAGAGUGGUUAAAGUUAGGGCUAUGGUUCAGAGUGGUUAAAGUUAGGGCUAUGGUUCAGAGUGGUUAAAGUUAGGGCUAUGGUUCAGAGUGGUUAAAGUUAGGGCUAUGGUUCAGAGUGGUUUGGGGAAGACAAGGAACAAAAUAAUAUCAUCAUAAUAGCAUCACCAGUUCAAUCUGCCGGCUGGCUAGAGCAUUCUGAACUGCACUGGUCUGAGCAGCUCCCUCUGGCUCUGAGCAUCACCAGUUCAAUCUGCCGGCCAAUCAUUUGUCAUUUGUUUGGUGGUGAGCGUGGAGGAAGCGAUAUAUCGACGUUCUGGGUGUCCUUUUCAAACGUCGGAAAUCGUGGUCUAUUUCCAGGGAUCAGUCUGUGUGAGUCAGAGUAUCUCCAGGGAUCAGUCUGUGUGAGUCAGAGUAUUUCCAGGGAUCAGUCUGUGUGAGUCAGAGUAUUUCCAGGGAUCAGUCUGUGUGAGUCAGAGUAUUUCCAGGGAUCAGUCUGUGUGAGUCAGAGUAUUUCCAGGGAUCAGUCUGUGUGAGUCAGAGUAUUUCCAGGGAUCAGUCUGUGUGAGUCAGAGUAUUUCCAGGGAUCAGUCUGUGUGAGUCAGAGUAUUUCCAGGUAGGUUAGGGUGUAGGCCUCUCCAACAGGUCGAUCUCCAGCUACCGGUAGCUACCAGCCCACCUAUGAGUUGCUCGCCAAACUAUUCUGAAUAGUACAUGAAAUGUUCACGUGUUCAACCACCACAAACGGUCAUAAACUAAUCUCACACAGUAUCACAACAAGCUGCCAGCUACUCACUAAUCAACACAACGUUGAUAUCAUCCCACCCCUGGUUAGCCACUACUGCCUUUAAAAACAAGCCAAUCCUAACACAAUAUCUGCCCACUUCAUUUCCAGUAAUAUGGCCCCUGUCUGUCUGUGUGGUUGCGUGCGUGUGUCUAUCACACCGUGUGUAGCAAGUUGACGUGAUAACCGUCUUGUGGGUUGACUGAAAUAUUUUACCCAAAACCCUUCUCAAUUAAAUGUUAACUGUAAAGUAGCCUGACCUGGCAGAGGUAUAUUCAUGAGGAAGUACAUCAUCUAUAUGUAUUAAUUGUUAUUUUAAAAUGUCACUAAACUGGUACAUUAGAUGGGACAUCCCUCACUCACUAGAUGCAGAAUUAAAGGGCCAGGCGCAUAAUUAAAGGGACAGACACAUAAUUAAAGGGCCACACGCACAAUUAAAGGGGAAUUACACCCCAAAAUCUAAAUGUGUUUGUUUUCUUCGACCUACUUUUAUUUUUCAUUAUUUCAUUUCAUUAAGCAUUGACAUGGACUCAGAACUAAUCUAAUGUAAUCUAAUUUAAUCUAAUGUAAUCUAAUCUAAUGUAAUCUAAUUUCGUUGAAAAAUAUAUAUUUUGAGAGUAAAAAACAAAACCUAAAUCCAAGAAAGAUAAAAAUCAGAAAACAUAAUAACAGAUUGUAUAGGGCCUUAGAGCUGUUUAUUAACUAGGUAUAUUGACAGAAAACAUA
Long non-coding RNA from Oncorhynchus tshawytscha (Chinook salmon), 1913 nucleotides. The record is from Ensembl. Lineage: Eukaryota; Metazoa; Chordata; Actinopteri; Salmoniformes; Salmonidae.